RNAcentral lists this transfer RNA (77 nucleotides) under Clostridiales bacterium. Its description in RNAcentral is "tRNA-Val". It matches the Rfam family "tRNA". Rfam says of the family: Transfer RNA (tRNA) molecules are approximately 80 nucleotides in length. Their secondary structure includes four short double-helical elements and three loops (D, anti-codon, and T loops). Further hydrogen bonds mediate the characteristic L-shaped molecular structure. tRNAs have two regions of fundamental functional importance: the anti-codon, which is responsible for specific mRNA codon recognition, and the 3' end, to which the tRNAs corresponding amino acid is attached (by aminoacyl-tRNA synthetases). tRNAs cope with the degeneracy of the genetic code in two manners: having more than one tRNA (with a specific anti-codon) for a particular amino acid; and 'wobble' base-pairing, i.e. permitting non-standard base-pairing at the 3rd anti-codon position. RNAcentral also lists the same sequence under 2 other names. Lineage: Bacteria; Bacillati; Bacillota; Clostridia; Eubacteriales. The record is from RNAcentral.
GGGGUCUUAGCUCAGCUGGUCAGAGCGCCACGUUGACAUCGUGGAGGUCGUAGGUUCGAGCCCUAUAGACCCCACCA